GCGGGUGUAGUUCAAUGGUAGAACUUCAGCUUCCCAAGCUGAUGAUGGGAGUUCGAUUCUCCUCACCCGCU
RNAcentral lists this transfer RNA (71 nucleotides) under Acidimicrobiaceae bacterium. RNAcentral's name for it is "tRNA-Gly". It matches the Rfam family "tRNA". From Rfam's summary of the family: Transfer RNA (tRNA) molecules are approximately 80 nucleotides in length. Their secondary structure includes four short double-helical elements and three loops (D, anti-codon, and T loops). Lineage: Bacteria; Bacillati; Actinomycetota; Acidimicrobiia; Acidimicrobiales; Acidimicrobiaceae. RNAcentral also lists the same sequence under 3 other names. The record is from RNAcentral.